UAAGGAAUAUUGGUCAAUGGACGCAAGUCUGAACCAGCCAUGCCGCGUGAAGGAUGAAGGUCCUCUGGAUUGUAAACUUCUUUUAUUUGGGAAGAAACCCAUUUUUCUAGAGUGGUUGACGGUACCAGAUGAAUAAGCACCGGCUAACUCCGUGCCAGCAGCCGCGGUAAUACGGAGGGUGCAAGCGUUAUCCGGAUUCACUGGGUUUAAAGGUGCGUAGGUGGCAGUUAAGUCAGUGGUGAAAUCUCCGGGCUUAACCCGGAAACUGCCAUUGAUACUAUCUGUCUUGAAUACCGUGGAGGUGAGCGGAAUAUGUCAUGUAGCGGUGAAAUGCUUAGAUAUGACAUAGAACACCAAUUGCGAAGGCAGCUCACUACGCGAAUAUUGACACUGAGGCACGAAAGCGUGGGGAUCAAACAGGAUUAGAUACCCUGGUAGUCCACGCCCUAAACGAUGGAUACUCGACAUACGCGAUACACAGUGUGUGUCUGAGC
Molecule: ribosomal RNA, 494 nt
Filed under: uncultured bacterium
Lineage: Bacteria
Description: bacterial SSU rRNA
Rfam family: Bacterial small subunit ribosomal RNA
Source: RNAcentral